GACAGAGGGUGCAAACGUUUGCUCGGAAUUACUGGGCGUAAAGCGCGUGUAGGCGGUCUCGCGAGUCGGGUGUGAAAGCCCGGGGCUCAACCCCGGACGUGCAUUCGAUACUACGAGGCUGGAGUACUGUAGAGGAGAGCGGAAUUCCCGGUGUAGAGGUGAAAUUCGUAGAUAUCGGGAGGAACACCAGUGGCGAAGGCGGCUCUCUGGACAGUGACUGACGCUGAGACGCGAAAGCGUGGGUAGCAAACAGG
RNAcentral lists this ribosomal RNA (254 nucleotides) under uncultured bacterium. RNAcentral describes it as "partial 16S ribosomal RNA". It matches the Rfam family "Bacterial small subunit ribosomal RNA", at positions 524 to 776 of the family's 1533-position model. The record is from RNAcentral.